UUUCAUUAGGUCAAAUAUACUCAUUUGCCGGCGGAAUUCACAUUAUACGUGAUUAGGCGUAUAGCGGGGACAUGGAAACGAAAUUGGAUGUUGACUUGGACUUCAGAAAAUUAGGAAGAGUAAAAUGGUAGUCGUACAGAAGACAAAACUUGUAAAUCACUUGUCAAUUUAGACCAACUGGCCCGCCCCCACAUAAGUGCUUAAAGUCGAACUCAAGCUUCUGCGGGAAAAUAAUUUGCAUUCUGUUUACUGGGAGUGUUUAUGCGACACUCGCGUGCGAAAUCUUUCUUUUGCUCUAUCUUCAGGGGUUCCCCUCUUUCCUGGGUAUAAAAUAUACAUAUAUUUUAUGCCGCUAACAAUCUCAUUAAACUUGGAUGCGUAUAAGUCUGAAAGCAAGAGUCUUGCAUUCCUUCAGAAACUCCCACUUCUAGCACUCCAUUGAAGAUGACAAUAGGACUAAAUGAGAUGGAAGAAGGGAAAGACGUCUAAAUUGCUACAAUUACGGUUAAAAAGUGUGCCGAUGACGACAAGGGUGAUGGUGAUGAUCAGGAAGCUAUAGUAGCGGAAAAAGUCCAGGCUAACAGUCCAAUACUGGGAUACAUCUAUAAUAACCUUUGACAAAGUGCCUUAAUUUAUUGCUUUAGGCAUAGGUUGGGCUUCUAUCUGCCAAGAUAUUCCACCACCCGAAAGGUGUUGGCCUCUGUAAUAGAUAUUGAUGAUACAAAGAUAUACAAAAUACUACGAAAAUAUCUGAAGUUUAUUUGGAAUUUUCCAUAACAAAUCAUUGCCUUAUAUAUGUAUAGCCAAAUUGCUAAAGAAAUUUUUAAUGAUCCCUAACACUGCCAAAUAACUUGGAAUUAAUAAUUCGGAAAUCAUUUUAAUGUGCACUAAGCAGAAGCACGAAAUUUCUUAAGACUGGGUGAAAGGUGAAAAUAACACAUGUCUGAGCCACUUCAUAUUUAUUUAUUGCCAAUGGCUAUACGCACUCUGAACAAGAGUGACGGACAAAUUGUGACGGACUUCCGUGUAUAUUAACGAAUUUUGAACAGAUCCGUUAUUCGGUUGCCUGGUUGGCAUUGGGUUUUAAAUAUUGGUAAUGCUGUCACAAAUCCGCCGCAUGGACCGCUUCCAACUGCCCGCCCGCUGCCAAUGAUUUUGGCAAACAGAGAAUGCCACAGCAGCCCUCUAGUCAUUUUCCCUUGUACCCCUGUCAGCCGGCGUCGAGAGAAGGAAAUUGAAUUGCAGUCAUGAUGUUGACAUAGCGUGCAAUAAAAUAACACAAGACGCAGGGCAAAACACUCAGCUACGGGCUUAUGGCAAUAUAAUUCCCCAGAGUAACCAGUAACCCGUGUCCUGGGGACCCGAAUACGAAUUCGGACUCGGGUCCACGUCUAAGUCUAUGCGUAC
This is a long non-coding RNA of Drosophila santomea, 1407 nucleotides long. RefSeq lists it as uncharacterized. The record is from RefSeq and is a predicted model, not a curated record. NCBI's taxonomy places the organism in Eukaryota, Metazoa, Arthropoda, Insecta, Diptera, Drosophilidae. The transcript is spliced from 3 exons.